GACGAACCGUGCGAACGUUGUUCGGAUUCACUGGGCUUAAAGGGCGCGUAGGCGGCUUGCCAAGUCAGGGGUGAAAUCUUUCGGCUUAACCGGAAAAGUGCUUCUGAUACUGGCGGGCUGGAGGGAGGUAGGGGCAGACGGAACUUCCGGUGGAGCGGUGAAAUGCGUAGAUAUCGAGAGGAACACCAGUGGCGAAGGCGAGUCUCUGGACGACUCCUGACACUGAGGCACGAAAGCUAGGGGAGCAAACAGG
Molecule: ribosomal RNA, 253 nt
Filed under: uncultured bacterium
Lineage: Bacteria
Description: partial 16S ribosomal RNA
Rfam family: Bacterial small subunit ribosomal RNA
Source: RNAcentral